Gallus gallus (chicken) is the source of this 1885-nucleotide long non-coding RNA. NCBI's taxonomy places the organism in Eukaryota, Metazoa, Chordata, Aves, Galliformes, Phasianidae. The record is from Ensembl.
CGCGUCAGGCGGGAGCCGCCAUCUUGGCACCGCUCCACCCCCUCAGGUGGUACCUUGUGCAGCCUUGCGCUGCCUUGAGGGUGUGCUCCGUCAGGCCGCCGUUCCUGAAUUCGGUAGCUCGUAGCUAAAUUUUGUCUCUGUGCACCACGCCUACUCGUCUGUUAACACACCUUCAGGGACAGUGGCCCCACCGCCUCCCUGGGUAGCCCGUGCUAACAACGCUACACAGCCCUCUGUGUGGAAAAAGUUUUCCUACUGUCCACCCUGACCCUCCCCAGGCACAAUUUGAGACCGUUACCAAAAAAAGAUUCCCUCGGGGAAAGGAAAGCCGUGCACCCGCCUUGGAGCACUUUGUCCCGGGCUGUGCCGUGAGGAGAGGAGCAGCAGUGCAGAGGGGAGCAUGUGGAGAUGCGCCCGGAGAAGGAGCAGCCGGCACAGCUGCCAGCCCUUCCCGUUGGGUUUCCAGGCAGGAGUAAAACAAUGGCUGCUGAGAUAUGUUACAUGGAAUGGGAACCUGGACUACCUCUUGCACAAAGCUGCUGAGGAAAAGCAUACGACUUAGAGAUGCUUCCAAGUUUUCAUACGGACUGAACAGGAUUCGGUGCAGAACCCACAGAUGUGGAUUUACCAGAGGGCUCACAGAAGGUGAUUCCAGCAGAUGCCAGCUAUGAGCCUCCUGCUAUUGUAAGGCCGUACAGCCAAGGAGUGCUGAGUCAGCUGCACGACAGAGGAGUCCAGAGAAGCAAAGUGGGAUCAGAUGUGAAAAGUUUGGGUGUAACCCAUUGUGCUGCCCUUUGCUGACAGCCUCAAGACCCUGUGCCUACCUUCAGGCUGUACAGAGACCCAGCACAUAUUUGUCGCAACAUCAGUGGGGACAUAAAGGAGUGAAGCUUGAAACCAAGCAUCCAUCCAUCUGUGGAGGUCUUAGUACCACUGAGGUCAGAAGCAGUGGACUUGCUAACGUGGGUGUAAGUCAUACAGUCAAAGCAUGGAUGGGAAUCUAAUGAUCUCGCCCACACAAGAGGAGAACUGUUCCCUUGAAAGGAUCGACAGUAGCCGGGCUGUUUUAAAAUACCAUAAUAAAUGGUAUUCUCUACUAGUGGGACACGAUGCUCAGUGUUACGACCUGUUUCCAGACAAUGGUUUAAUUAAACAUUUAAUGGAUGCAUCUCAUUUCUUUGCACGAGCUCCACUCUAAACAACCGAGCUAAUAAUGUAAGCACCACAGUUUGAUGAUUAAAAUGAGAGUUUUCAUGAACACUGCCCCCCUGACAAACAAAAGGGCUGAUACCGUGCAGAGGAAGCUGGGUCCCUGUGAGCCCACAGCGCAGUGACCCACAUUUAGCAUGAAACCAGAUUUAUGGCUGACCAUCAGCAUUUUAAAAAUUACCAGGCAAACAGUUUUAAACAGUGAUCUUUUGGCCACGUCCGGUUCUUUUAUUCAAUUAAUUAAGCAAUUCAUUUAAACAAACGAUUGCCUUUAGGAGUUCUCCUUAAUUAGAGAUUCAGCACCAGCUUCAAGACAUUUCCUCAAACAAACUCUGGCACCCAUAUCAAAUCAACAGAGCUGGGACCUUCCUUUAAGCCCGGCCGUGUGAGGAGUUGCAUGCAGAGCUGUGAGUUUGCCCAGCAGUUUGCUGCUUACAAAAGGGCCGUGCGUUUUCAGGAAGAACUUCAAUAAGAAAUAUCUACAUGGACAUUUCUUUUUCUAUCCCUCCCAUAGCUAAAAAAAAAAAGAAGCAUUUUUUGCAAAGCAGUGACAAAUCUCGGGUGUUAAUUAAAAACCUUAAGAGCAAUAAGUUUGUCAAAGCAUUCUGAAAGUCUGACCAAGCUCUACCUCUUAGAGGCUGCGAUUCAAUGACACUCAGAACAUCGUCCUUUCAGC